This 267-nucleotide ribosomal RNA is filed under the name uncultured bacterium. RNAcentral describes it as "partial 16S ribosomal RNA". It matches the Rfam family "Bacterial small subunit ribosomal RNA", at positions 524 to 788 of the family's 1533-position model. The record is from RNAcentral.
UACGUAGGGUGCGAGCGUUAAUCGGAAUUACUGGGUGUAAAGCGCGCGCAGGCGGCGGUGCUGGCCCGGCGUGAAAGCCCCCGGCUCAACCGGGGAGGGUCGUCGGGGACCGCACCGCUUGAGGGCGGUAGGGGCUGGUGGAAUGCCUGGUGUAGUGGUGAAAUGCGUAGAGAUCAGGCGGAACACCCGUGGCGAAGGCGGCCAGCUGGGCCGUCCCUGACGCUGAGGCGCGGAAGGCGUGGGGAGCGAACGGGAUUGAGAAACCCU